UUGAUGGAAAGGAGCAACACAACUUCAGG
RNAcentral lists this non-coding RNA (29 nucleotides) under Rattus norvegicus (Norway rat). The record is from RNAcentral. Lineage: Eukaryota; Metazoa; Chordata; Mammalia; Rodentia; Muridae.